UCUCUGAGGACGCCGGCCCACCUCCCUCGGGGGUUCCCAGCCGGGCGCCGGGGACGGACCCGCGCGGCCCUCGUCUACACCGCCCCCGGACGCCGGGGUCCGGCCGACAGCGCGGGCUUAGCGGGCAGCGGGCCUCGGACUGGUGCUGUUUGACCGCCUUCCCCUUGAGCUGGCUCCCGACGGGGAGGCAGCAGGUGGACCCGUCUUAAAGGACAGGACGAGUCUGGUGACAGCCCGAGUCGAGGGCUCCCAGGGCUGCCCGGAUCAGGUGGAGCGGUCCUUAGAGCAGACGCGGAAGACAGCCCGCGGCCACGCGGGCCGGGUGGGAGGAGAGGGCGCAGCCCGGAGCUGCAGGGGACAAAGCAGGCCUGCUGGGGCCUUGCCCUUCUCGGUUCUUAUCUUGUGGCCCAGAGGUGGACGGCUGGCUUAAAGAAAGAGGACCAGGCCAGCUCCUCUGUGGAGCUGACAGGCUCCUCCGGCGACCGUCACAGGCAGGGCUGCCAGAUACAACACAGGACACCAGUCAAACCUGAAUUUCAGAUCGACAAGCUGGCUGGCAGUCCUAUCCCAGGCAACAGAGAAGGUCCCACCUUCAGCAUCACACUCCUCAUCAGCUCUCAAUAAAGACCCCCACGAAGGAGGAAAGAUCCACAGGGCUGCAGAGAGAAGCAGGAAUGUGGGAACAGGCAGAAACGUGGUAAAGUAAGCUCCCUCUCCUGCCUCAAACAGCUUGAAGGUCAUGGUGAUGACAGCCCUUUAGAAACUCAACGCAAACGGUCCUUUUCUCCAGACCACAUCCUGGGACACAGGAAGCUCUUGAAAGUCUCAAAGCGGGACGCUGACCCAACCGGACUGCACUUUGAUGAAGACCAAGCCUGCAGCUGAGGAGGAGCGAGGUGAGGAGUGCAGCACAGUGGAGGGGAGCCCGAGGACCGGAAGGCGAGUGAGGGCACUGCUGCGUAAAUCCAGGUGGGAGAAGACAGCGGCACGAACAAAGGCCAUGGGUGACCCUAGGGAGGAGAGACUGGGGUGGACUCUGAAGGGUUAUGGGCGUAGAUUUGGUGACUGACUGGGGAUAAGAAUGGUCCCCAGAUUGAGACUUGGGCAUUUCUUGACUCAAAAUUCUUCUCUGGCUCCCCUUUUUCUACAAAACUUUCAGCUCUUGAGCUUGGCAUCAAGACUCUCAAUGACAUCGUUCCAACUUUCUUUUCUAAUCUUCCUCUCUCUCUCUCUCUUUCUCUCUCAACUUGUACUUGAGCCAUGGUGGUAUGCUGGCGAUUCCCCAGGCAUGCCCUCCCUUUGUCCAGUGUCCUCCUCCAGCCAUCUUCCCAUCCCAUCCUUCAAGCCCCGCUCAAGGCACCUCCUCCAGGAAGCCUUCCCAGGCCCGCCCUUCCCUUCUUCAUUCUGCUCUUUUGGAACUAAGCUCCUCCCCUUGGCUCCAGUAGAACUUUGCUUCUCCGUCUGCUGAAACACUCACCACAUUCUACAUUUUACUUUUUGUAGAAGUGUCUUCUUUUCACUGCAAAGUUAAAGGCUCCUUGAAGGCAGAGACCACAACUGUCUGGGAAGUACAAGGAAUGUUUGUUGAAUUGAAAUGAGCACUCCCUGGGGAGACUAAGAAGGAGACAGAGCCUAUUUUCCAAAGUGAUCGUUCCAAUUUGCUCCCACCAGUGAUGCAUGUAAUUUUGAGUUGCUUCACAUCCUGGAAGAGUCCGUUUCUAAAUCUUAGCCAUCCAGGUCUGCAGUCUCUCCGAGGUUGCCUUUUAUGCACAGUGUGAGAUGUCAUCUAACGACCACCACAAUGGAGAUACCGAAUGUUCCAUCAGACACUCCCCUGGCCCCAGAACUUAAACCAGCAGAGGGAGACAGAUCCCCAGCAGAGCACAGUGGAAAACGUUUUCCAAUUUCCUGCGUCCUCCCGGUGUCCCUGCCUUCUCCACGGUCUCCUGGGCUGAUCUUGCCGCUUCCAGAGCCCUUCCUACUGUCUCCCUCCAACCGAAGCUUAGAUUCGUGAGCUGACUCCUUCGGGCACACAGGGUAGCUUGCUGGCUCAUCUGGCGGAAGAGAGGAGGCCUUCUGAACGCAAGCCCUCCCGGGAAACCGGUUCGCACGUAACAAGGAACUUGGAUGCUGAAACCCAGAGUCUUGAAGAGAGAAUUGUAGACACUGAGGCAGAGGAGAUGUUUGGAAGGGGCUUUCGGUCUGAGACUUUUCCAGAUCCCUCAGCUCACAGCGGCACAGAGGCCUGCACCCUGCUUCCGUUCUGAGAGCGCGUUCCCGCUUCCCAUGCAACCUCAGCAACCUCAGCCUGUGUCUGGGAAGAAGCUGCCCUCGGCCUCUUCCUUCCAGAAAACAGCAGGCUGUUUUGUUGUUUGGUUGUCUCUCACACGUCCAGUUCCUCCAGAGCUUCCGGACCCCUUUUCCUUGGCUCCCGAAGGGAGCACCUGGAAUGUUCACACUCUACCUGGAGAACCGCGCUGUCUCCUCGGGCAUUUCUGCUGCACAGGAGAGAAAAAGCUAGUUCAUUUAAGCCAAAAACUUAAGUAGGGACUGGAUUCAAAAACAAGCCUUUCUCAAAAAAAAACACCUCCUCCUUUGCCUGUGGUUACUAGAGGCAAGUCAUGAGCCUCUUUUGCAGAUAGCGCUUGAAUUAUUGGUCUGGUUCUAACAACUGGCACUUUCCAGCAGGACGUUAGGGAGUGAAGUGUGUGCACCAUGAUAGAAGACGGUUUGGAAGCCACCCUAGACAAGGAGGGCUGAGCCUGCAGGAAGGAAGUUGUGAAGGGUCACCGCCCAGCACGGGACUGCACUUAUUCUCUGCCGCUCCAGAGAGCCAAGCGAGAACCAGCAGCUGGUCUUGGGCAUGCGGCAUAAGGGAAGAUGGUGGGGAAGUGGUCCGUGGAGAAGUGGUGCAGCCAGGGGAAACUAGUGCAGCUGGAGUCUGACUCCAGCAAGGGCUUCUUAGCACCCAAAGCCCGGCCUGAGAGAAUGUGGUAAACAGCAUGAUUCGGGCAGCCACUGGCAUCGAGUGAUCCAACCCAGUGGGUGGGCAAAGCAGCAAGGGAUGCUAGGCAGCAUUUCAGAAGUCCUUCCUCAAGGGACCAUAACAGCUAACGUAGGGAGUGUGGGGGCAGGACGCAACAGGAUGAAGGUAUGGCCCCAGUACCUAAUCACCACCCAAGUUCUGGACAAGGCCCCAGUCACAGGGGGAAGCUGGGGAACAGCACAG
Equus caballus (horse) is the source of this 3229-nucleotide long non-coding RNA. The record is from Ensembl. NCBI's taxonomy places the organism in Eukaryota, Metazoa, Chordata, Mammalia, Perissodactyla, Equidae.